This 688-nucleotide long non-coding RNA is filed under the name Harpegnathos saltator (Jerdon's jumping ant). Its description in RNAcentral is "uncharacterized LOC105185824, transcript variant X1". Lineage: Eukaryota; Metazoa; Arthropoda; Insecta; Hymenoptera; Formicidae. The record is from RNAcentral.
CAUUUGUAUUAUCGGAAGAUGAACGUAUAUUUAAUUAGAUUUUAAAUUGCCACAUAAAAUGAAAACUAUUGGAAAUACAAACUCUCUAGAGACGUAUAAAUCUACGUGUGCUAGAGCGUGAUAUAUGUUAAUUACAUAAAUUUGGUUAGCCCAUGCACAUAACUAUGUCUAAUAUAAUUAACUUAAUGUAACCACAAUUGUGAUACCCAUAUUUAAACCACAACAAUGGGGAAAACAUCAAAAGACAAGUAUGACAUAUAUUAGGAAUGCUAAGGAAGAAGGAUGGUAUGCAUGAAGUGCUUUUAAAUUACUCCAAAUUGAUCAGGAAUGUCGGAUCUUUAAUGGUGUAUCCAAAACAAUAGAUUUAUGCGCUGCACCUGGAAGCUGGAGUCAGGUCUUAGCUCUUAAGCUGAAUACAAAGGAGAGAAGUACAAGUACCACGAGCCAGUGCAGACUCCUAUAGUGCCAUUCUAUGAGGAAGCGUUAUCUUUAUCGAGAAGCAGAGACUUUCAUAUGGCUGAUGUUAAUGUGAUAAUCGAGAACGAAAAUAUGAAUAAAAUUUCUCUCUUUGAAAAGACAGUCCUACAACAGAGUCAAACCAAGAUGAAUGUAGAGGCGAAAACAGCGCAACAGGAUCAAGAUGAGAAUGAAGCGCCUAUCGAUAUGUUACAAAAUUUAUAUGUCUGAU